RNAcentral lists this long non-coding RNA (1024 nucleotides) under Phasianus colchicus (ring-necked pheasant). Its description in RNAcentral is "lncRNA (ENSPCLG00000017357.1)". The record is from RNAcentral. Lineage: Eukaryota; Metazoa; Chordata; Aves; Galliformes; Phasianidae.
GCUCCCAUUAGGAAUCUAUGGGUCCCAAACAGGAUCUAUGGGUCCCAUUAUGUCCUAUGGGGCUCUAUGGGUCCCAUUAAUGAUCUAUGGGUCCCAAUGAGGAUCUAUGGGUCCCAUUGUUCUCUAUGGGGCUCUAUGGGUCCCAAUGAGGAUCUGUGGGUCCCUUUGUUCUCUAUGGGGUUCUAUGGGGCUCUCUGGGGCUCUAUGGGACUCUAUGGGUCCCAAUGAUGAUCUAUGGGUCCCAUUAAGGAUCUAUGGGUUCCAAUCAGGAUCUGUGGGUCCCAUUGUUCUCUAUGGGACUCUAUGGGUCCCAAUCUGGGUCUAUGGGUCCCAAACAGGAUCUAUGGGUCCCAAUCAGGAUCUGUGGGUCCCAUUGUUCUCUAUGGGGCUCUAUGGGGCUCUAUGGGGUUCUAUAGGGCUCUAUGCGGUUCUAUGAGACUCUAUGGGGUUCUAUGGGGCUCUAUGCGGUUCUAUGGGGCUCUAUGGGGUUCCAUGGGGCUCUAUGUGACUCAAUGGGGCUCUCUGGGGCUCUAUGGGGUUCUAUGGGACUCUAUGGGUCUCUCUGGGGCUCUCUGGGGCUCUCUGGGGCUCUAUGCGGUUCUAUGGGACUCUAUGGGGUUCUAUGGGGCUCUGUGGGGCUCUAUGGGGCUCCAUGGGCCCCAUGGCCCCAAUACCCCCCGCCCCACACCGCUCCCCGUUGCCAGGAGGGGACGCUGCGCUUCUGCGGGACGACGGCGUUCGCCAGCGGUCAGUGGGCCGGGGUGGAGCUGGACGGACCGCAGGGCAAGAAUGACGGCAGCGUGGGGGGGGUCCGCUACUUCAUCUGCCCCCCUAAGACCGGUGUCUUCGCCUCGGUGUCGCGCAUCUCCAAGGCGGAGCAGCAGCCGGCAGCGCCGUCCCCCCCCCACAGCCCCCCCCGCAGCGCCCCCAAGGGCCGCAAGGAGAAGAGAGGUGAUUGGCUGCGGCCAGAGGGGGGCGGGGCGAAGGGUGGGAGGGGCUACGGGGAUUGGUCAGGGUGGGGAGG